UGGCAGUCGGGAAAUACAGUCAGUUGGCCGCGAGCUUUCGCGCGGAAGGACGUGCGCAGUGGUAGUUUUUGUCCCUUCUCGGAAAACGCGGAAAACUUUACGUCAAUCGUGUGAUUAUCGUAUUGUGUGUGUCAAUUUUUUUCUUUUUAUUUUUCUUAUUGUGUGAUUAGUUUUUUUUUUGUGAGUGGUGGAGAUUAUAUUUUGGAGAGGUAGUAUCAGCCAGAUGAGCGGUCCGUUGUGACCCGGCGCAUCAACACGAUGCACCAAUGCUCGCUCUUCAUACUCGUCCUCCUAUGCGUGUCUGUCAAAGAUAUAUCCGGUAGCUGGGAAGAAUGGUGGACGUACGAUGGCAUAUCAGGUCCCGGGUUCUGGGGUCUGAUAAACCCACAAUGGAGUAUGUGCAACAAAGGCCGGCGACAGUCGCCAGUCAACAUAGAACCAGACAAGUUGCUGUUCGACCCCUGGCUGAGGGACAUACAGUUCGAUAAACACAAGGUCAGCGGAGUUCUUCAAAACACAGGACAAUCCCUGGUCUUCCGAGUGGAGAAGGACUCGAAGCAUCAGGUGAACAUCAGCGGAGGACCUCUCUCCUACCGCUACCAGUUCGAGGAGAUCUACUUCCAUUAUGGAAUGGAAGACAACCGAGGUUCUGAACACCAGAUUGACCACCACACCUUUCCUGGCGAGAUCCAACUGUACGGUUUCAAUAAAGAACUGUACCACAACAUGUCGGAAGCACAGCACAAAUCUCAAGGAAUCGUCGGCAUCUCUCUAAUGGUACAGGUUGGCGAACCUAUCAACACUGACUUUAGAUUGAUAACCAGUGCGUUCAACAAAGUUACUUAUCGAGGUGCCUCAUUCCCUAUAAAACACCUACCACUAAGUUCCCUGCUACCGAACACACAGCAGUACUUGACUUACGAAGGCUCUACGACACACCCUGGAUGCUGGGAGACAGCCGUCUGGAUCAUCUUCAACAAACCUAUUUAUAUUUCUAAACAAGAGAUGUAUGCCCUCCGUCAGCUGAUGCAAGGAUCCCAGUUGACUCCUAAAGCACCGCUGGGCAACAACGCGCGUCCAGUGCAGCCAUUACACCAUCGCACCGUCAGGACCAACAUCAACUUCAACAAACAAGGAUUGCAGGGUUCAAGCAAUUGUCCAGACAUGUACCGAAAUAUGCAUUAUACAGCACGGUAUCGCCACAAGCGUCGUUCCAAAAAAAGUGUUGCAUGCAAAAGGCACGAUAAAGAUAGACCAAAGAAAUGUCACAGAAAUAGAAGGAUCAGAGACGCUAUUGUCUAUUCCUAGUGAAACAAUAGCCAAUGUAACUACAAUGACUACUACAACACCUGCAAGCUUAGUUAACGUAACCGAGAGCAAUGACCUCAGGUAAUCAACCCAAUGGCCGAAGGAGCACAGCUUGCGGUACAGAAGCGUUGACGACCUAUCUUUGGCACACAAUUGAACUAUAUAUAACUUCUAAUAUACCUUUUAUAUACUAUCGCCAUUAUAGUUAUCAAAACAUAUUUUUCAAAAACAUGUAUGUAGCUGUCACACUAAAUAUCUUAUGUAAAACAUUUAUUUUAAACAACGUUAUAAAUUAUAUACUAAAUUAAUUUAUUAUGUUAUCGGCUUACUCACAUAACUGUUUGACGAGGAAAGUCAGUAGCUGCGCGACAGUCGCUAUGUCCAGUGUCGCAGACUGUUGCUCAUGAAUAUGAGCCUCUAGCAUGGCUUAAAACUAGUCGAGUUCCUCGUCAAACAGUUACGUGAGUAAGCCGAUAACGUUAUACAUGUUUGAUUUAUUUUAUUGAAAUACAAUUUCAGUUUACUGCAUUUAAUUUUAACACUCUAUUCAAUCUAGUUUCAUCAAAGUAAAAUUAAUAUUGAUUGAACUAUUUCUAUUCGUUUGUAUAUAACUAUAUAAUAUUAACUAUAACGCUUAAUUUAUAUCAAUUAUAAAUUAUAACAUACAAAAAAUAUGCUGUUGCUUUUGUAUCACCAAGCUCUUGGUAAUAUUUGCUCAUGUAUAUAAAUAAGCACUGCAUAUAGAACGCACAAUUGGUUUGUUUAAAAAUGUAUCGUUAACUUAUGGCUCAUAUAAAAUUCUGUGCAAUUAUUAAUCUUGAUGAGGCAAACUUGUAACGAGGUAGACUCCUCAGUUGCUUAAAUGUUAGAUUAAGUAAAUUAACUAUACCUAUUCCUAGCGAAACUGUAUCAUUGCUACUUAGAAAUGUAUAAGGUAGCCUGUCUUAACUAAAAAAUAGCGACUACGUAUAAAAAAGCCUCAGAAAGAAUAUCUCAAGGUUGUAUAGUCUCAAUUUAUCUAUGAAAGUAGAGAAAAGUAUUUAUAAUAGAAAUGGUUACAAAAUAAAAAGCAACAAAGAUAUAAUUAGAUCUAAAACUAAUAAUUAUAAACCGUCAAUUGUGUAGACAAUAUUUCCGCGAUACUGUUAAAGUUAAGCAAUAUAUACAAAAUUUAACAAACGCUUCAUACUACUUUAUCUUGUACUAUAAAUAUAUAGAAAUUAUAUGUAGAAAUUAUAACUGUAUAUAGGAAUGUAUAUACGAAAUGAUUUCCAAUUUAUAAUUAAAAAGAAGUAUCAUAAAUUCGUCCACACUUUUAAGUGUAUCUAUCGCAAUUAUACGAUUGUAAGGCUUAUAUUUGGUAGGUAUAUGCGAUAUUAAAAAUAUAAUAUAAAAUUAACAACAAUAUCAAAUUAUAAUAUAAUGUAUAACAGUAGAUACAUGUUUGGUAUAGUGCGGGUUAUAUAUAAAAGUACAAUACCGCAAUAGUAUAUAUAAUUUUUAUUAAAAUACAUUAUAUAAAUGACUUUGGUUCGCUUUACAUGUAACAUAAUAUAUUAAAAAAGGGCUUAUGACUAGAUUGGUAUAUAAAUAAAAAAGGUAGACAUAGAAAUUGGGAAUUAUAUAAUCGUAAUUUAAAAAUGCUGUCUAUAUCAAAACUCCGGUAAAUGUGAAUGAAGUUAAAAGUAGGUAAAAAAUUAAAAGAGUUUUUGUUAAAUUUUGGUAAAAUAUAUAUUAUAAAUAGCUAUACGAUUAUUGUAAGUAACUGUAAUGUACCUAUGGAAUUAAAUGUAGUAGUUAGAUGCCUGUGUUGUCUUUAUGAGUUCAAUAAUAAAAUGUUUAACUAAA
RNA transcript from Spodoptera frugiperda (fall armyworm), 3156 nucleotides. It is a transcript of the gene named carbonic anhydrase-related protein 10, with no coding region annotated. NCBI's taxonomy places the organism in Eukaryota, Metazoa, Arthropoda, Insecta, Lepidoptera, Noctuidae. The record is from RefSeq and is a predicted model, not a curated record. The transcript has 13 exons.